GACGAACGCUGGCGGCGUGCUUAACACAUGCAAGUCGAACGGAAAGGCCCUGCUUUUGUGGGGUGCUCGAGUGGCGAACGGGUGAGUAACACGUGAGUAACCUGCCCUUGACUUUGGGAUAACUUCAGGAAACUGGGGCUAAUACCGGAUAGGAGCUCCUGCUGCAUGGUGGGGGUUGGAAAGUUUCGGCGGUUGGGGAUGGACUCGCGGCUUAUCAGCUUGUUGGUGGGGUAGUGGCUUACCAAGGCUUUGACGGGAAGCCGGCCUGAGAGGGUGACCGGCCACAUUGGGACUGAGAUACGGACCAGACUCCUACGGGAGGCAGCAGUGGGGAAUAUUGCACAAUGGGCGGAAGCCUGAUGCAGCAACGCCGCGUGCGGGAUGACGGCCUUCGGGUUGUAAACCGCUUUCGCCUGUGACGAAGCGUGAGUGACGGUAAUGGGUAAAGAAGCACCGGCUAACUACGUG
This 468-nucleotide ribosomal RNA is filed under the name uncultured bacterium. RNAcentral's name for it is "partial 16S ribosomal RNA". It matches the Rfam family "Bacterial small subunit ribosomal RNA", at positions 28 to 507 of the family's 1533-position model. The record is from RNAcentral.